UGGCUCACGACGAACGCUGGCGGCGUGCCUAAUACAUGCAAGUCGAACGAACUCUGUAUUGAUUGGUGCUUGCAUCAUUAUUUACAUUUGAGUGAGUGGCGAACUSUGAGUAACACGUGUGGAAACCUGCCCAGAAGCGGGGGAUAACACCUGGAAACAGAUGCUAAUACCGCAUAACAACUUGGACCGCAUGGUCCGAGCUUUGAAAGAUGGCUUCGGCUAUCAYUUUUGHAUGGUCCCGCGGCGUAUUAGCUAGAUGGUGGGGUAACGGCUCACCAUSUGCAWUGAUACGUAGCCGACCUGAGAGUUUAAUCGGCCACAUUGGGACUGAGACACGGCCCAAACUCU
This 348-nucleotide ribosomal RNA is filed under the name Lactiplantibacillus plantarum. Its description in RNAcentral is "bacterial SSU rRNA". It matches the Rfam family "Bacterial small subunit ribosomal RNA", at positions 20 to 339 of the family's 1533-position model. Lineage: Bacteria; Bacillati; Bacillota; Bacilli; Lactobacillales; Lactobacillaceae. The record is from RNAcentral.